GCCCCCAGAGAUAAGGGGUUCUUUUGGCACAUAGGAUCCAGGGGUGGCAGGGUAUCGUUAGUCCGCCUGGGAGAAGUUGGUAAAGCUCGCGCAAGGAGAGCAACCGUGAUCGUUAGUUCAUACCAUUAAGUUGAGGAUUAUACCGCGAAUGCCAGUGAUACCUUUGAGGAAGGGGGGGAUGAGGUCAUAUCAUCAUGCCCAUUAUACGUUGGGCUACACACGUGCUACAAUGGUGGGUGCAAAGAGAAGUGAAGCUGUGAAGUGAAGCAAGCCUCAUAAAGCCGAUCUCAGUUCGGAUUGUAGUCUGCAGCUGGGCUACAUGAAGAUGGAAUCGCUAGUAAUCGCGGAUCAGAAUGCCGCGGUGAAUUCGUUCCAGGGUUUUGUACACCCCGCCCGUCACACCAAGAGAGUUUAUAACACCGGAAGUACAUUGGGCUAACCCUUUGGGAGGCAGGUGCCUAAAAUGGGAUAGAUGAUUGGGGUGAAGUCGUAACAAGGUA
Molecule: ribosomal RNA, 500 nt
Filed under: uncultured bacterium
Lineage: Bacteria
Description: bacterial SSU rRNA
Rfam family: Bacterial small subunit ribosomal RNA
Source: RNAcentral